RNAcentral lists this transfer RNA (70 nucleotides) under Holothuria leucospilota. RNAcentral describes it as "tRNA-Gln". It matches the Rfam family "tRNA". Rfam says of the family: Transfer RNA (tRNA) molecules are approximately 80 nucleotides in length. Their secondary structure includes four short double-helical elements and three loops (D, anti-codon, and T loops). Lineage: Eukaryota; Metazoa; Echinodermata; Holothuroidea; Aspidochirotida; Holothuriidae. The record is from RNAcentral.
UGAGAUGUAGUUUAAAGGAAAAUGAGGGUUUUUGAUUCCCUUGAUAGAAGAUCGCAACUUUUCAUCUCAG